Molecule: long non-coding RNA, 1242 nt
Organism: Homo sapiens (human)
Lineage: Eukaryota; Metazoa; Chordata; Mammalia; Primates; Hominidae
Exons: 3
Source: RefSeq, a predicted model, not a curated record
GCUGGGCCCUUUACGAGGUUCGGUCUUGGAGCUCCGUCUUCGGCAGCGGGCUCGGGGGCCUCGGACUCUGCAUAAGGCCCCGGAAAAGAUGACCGGCCCCGGGCUGGGCGCGGUGGCUCAUGCCUGUAACCCUGGAGCUUUGGGAGGCCUUGGCGGGCGGAUCGCUUGAGUCCAGGAGUUCGAGAUCAGCCUGGGCAACAAAGCGAGACACCACCCCCCACCCCCAGUCGCUACAGAAGAAAAAAAAAAAAAUUAACCGGGCGUGGUGUCUCGCGCCCAGUGGUCCUAGCUCCUCGGGAAGUCAUCAGAGAUGCCAGACCAGAGGAAAUACAGCAAUCAAAGCAGGCAAACCUGUUGCUAAAUGUGUUUUUGAGAGUAAAACUCCUUGGCCAAAUACUUCAAGACGCUGAUGAUUCUCAAAACUGUCAUCAUGAACCAUCUGGAGAAGGCCAGAUGUUUACAUUUCACGGAAAUGUGGUCCUGAAACCUUCAUUCUGAGCGCAGAGCUAACCACCUCCUCCUAUUCUUGGCAACACUAGUAAAUGAUACAUUACCACAGAGCAGGUGAAAUGCAGCAGAGACAUCUACGCUAGAACCUGAGGGUUGCUAUGUUGUAAGAAGCAUGCCCAGGUUUAUACUAGGACGCUCGGCUGGAGCAUUGGUUCACCGCUGUCCACUAUUUUAAAGACAUGCCAGAAAUAACAAUCCUAUUAUCUGAUUUCCAAGUAAGUCAGGAUGUUCCUACUAACAGCCCUUCCUUUUAUGGUAGUGAGAAUAGUCUAGAAACUUAGUGUUUUAUGAUAAUUCAUGUGCCGUGGCUCUCUUCCAGGAGAUUUUAAUCUCCCUCUGGCCUUGUCUUAUUCACCUUUAUGUCCCAGGACAAAAAUGUUGGACUGUUUGUUAUAUGUUAAUAAGUGGGCUGGGCGCGGUGGCUCACGCCUGUAAUCCCAGCACUUUGGGAGGCCGAGGUGGGCAGAUCACAAGGUCAGGAGUUCAAGACCAGCCUGCCCAAUAUGGUGAAACCCCAUCUGUACUAAAAAUACAAAAACAUUAGCCAGGUGUAGUGGCACAUGCCUGUAAUCCCAGCUACUCGGGAGGUUGAGGCAGGAGAAUUGCUUGAAUCCGGGAGAUGGAGGUUACAGUGAGCCAAGAUUGCGACACUGCACUCCAGCCUGGGCAACAGAGCAAGACUUCGUCUUAAAAAAUAAAAUAAAAUAAAAUAAAUGAUUGAUAAACAGUGAA